This 21-nucleotide microRNA is filed under the name Schmidtea mediterranea. RNAcentral's name for it is "sme-miR-2149-5p". Lineage: Eukaryota; Metazoa; Platyhelminthes; Tricladida; Dugesiidae. The record is from miRBase by way of RNAcentral.
CGCCAAUGACAAACUGUUGAU